RNAcentral lists this long non-coding RNA (24159 nucleotides) under Gallus gallus (chicken). Lineage: Eukaryota; Metazoa; Chordata; Aves; Galliformes; Phasianidae. The record is from RNAcentral.
AUAUGUGUAUGUGUGUGUAUAUAUAUCAGAGGAUGUUAUAGAUAUUAACCCUGGGGUUAUAUUUAUGGUAUUAUGUACUGAGGUGCUGACCAUAUGGUAUGAAAGUGAGUUAGGAGUUGAAAGGCACAUUUCUUCACUUUUUCAUAAGCUUUUCAUUAGUUUUUAUGACGUUUUUUCUUGCCUGGACAUUUUAACAUUUUAGCCUCCUUUGAAUAGAUCCUGAGAAAUGGCUUGUUACUGCUUGGUAGUCUCAGAGCGAAAAUUUGAGAGAGAGAAAGAAAAAGAAAAUUUAUAUGAUAAAUUAAGCUAUUAUUUUUUUAUUAAAAAUAAAUAAGCUAUUAUUUUAUAAAAUAAUAAUUUAAAGUGAGAAAUAAUGUCUAUUCCUUAGACCUUGUUUUACAACUCUAUAUAAUUUUCCUAAUAUGGGUAACUCAAUGUAUGUCAGAGGUGAAAGCAAUUGAUUUUCAGCUUAGCUAUCUAAUUAAAACUUCUACACAUCUUGUGAGCAGGGGCAGGGUAGGUAUGUCUAAAUAAUCAAAAUGCAUUCUUUUUGAACUUGCUAAAUUAUGUCCAUUGUAUUUAAGAAUUGUAAAACUACAGUUCCUAAAAUAGACUGUUUAGUUUGGAAUAUAAUGCAUGUUAUGCAUACAAAACGAGUUCCUGUAUGUACUGUAGAGGUAUGAAAACACUAUCGUAUAUCGAUAAGGAACAAGGUAAAUAAUAGCUUCUUUUUGAAAGAAAGUAUCUUUGCCUAAAAGAAUAACCAUGAACGCUUCAUGUAGUGAAAUGUAAGUCCUCUUCUGAAACACACCAUUAAUGGAUAUCAUCAUGUGGGCAUAUUUGUGACAGUAAGGUCUAAAAUAGUAGUGGUUGGAGACUGUGAUUUAGCAACCAGUCAUUUAGAACAUUUAAAGUUUGAUAGAUUUGCAUCUUUCUUACAGAUCACUUACUUUGAGACUUCUGCGUGUCUAUGAAUUUCUUUAUCAAGGCAUCAGUAGUUUGUGUGUAAAGACUAAGAGCGUAUUUCAGGGAGUGUAGGUCUGGGCUCUUUUCCAGGAAGUUCUUUUUCAGCCCACUUCCUCCAGCGUGGAAGUAUUGCUAAAAAGUAUUAAAAAAAAGAAAAGUAAAAUUCCAACUUGCUUUUAAAAGUAAGAUUGGCAGAGCCAGUUAGAUUUGUGAUUGUUGCAGUGAACUAUUGUCAUUUCUACAAUUGUUCUUUCUGAAGGUGAAGAUUUAAGAUUUGUAUGGGAAAAAUUUAAUUUUUUUUCUAUCUAAAAAAAAAAAAAUCUUGAAAAACAAGGUAUAGUUUACAGCACGAGUAAGGAAUAUAUUCUUUCUGAGCACAGAACAGAAUCUUUCUGUUACAAUUUUGAAAGAGAAGAUUCUAGAUUAUGAAGUUGUUGAUUAUCAUUGCAUUGUAACUAUGCCUGGAAUUAUGUUUUGCUCUGGGAAAUAACUGGAAUCUGGUUUGACCUUAAUUUUCACCACAUUCCUGUGUUGAGGGCUGCUGGUUAUUGCAGGGAUAAAGGUACCUGUAGGAGCAAAACAACUCAGAAAAUGAUUUCAGGUCAUCGGGCUGGAUCUGCUCGAAUUUCCUGUGCUAAACAGGACGAGACUGGACCUACCUUUAAUCUACUUGGGUCUUCAGACUUUUUGCUGUUGCCUAUAAAUGGUAAGCUUUGUAUGUAAACAACCAUAUCAUUUUUGUAUGCAAUCAAAUAAUUAAAAAAAAGACUUAACAGGUUUACAUUCUGAUACCUAAUACACUCAUCUUUGCAGAAGUAAACCUGAAAGUAGUUCCUCUGUUAUUCAUGUUCCAGUCUGGGUGAUUUCAAGGUUCACAGGUGCCAAAACAGGCUGGGAUCUUAAAAGUAAGUCACACUGACAAAUGAAGUGUGCAAACACAGGUAUGUAACGUCAUAGAUGUGGAAAUCAAUGCUGCAGUCUCAGUCAAAACUUGAGAAAUGUAAGUUACAUUGAAUGGUAUUUUUUCUUUGUAAAUUUUCUACGCAUUCACCAAACAAACAAACAAACAACAACAACAAAGAACAUACAAUCCCCCUCCAAAAUGGAAACUAGAACAAUAUAAUGAAUGAAAAUUAUCUCUAAGUUCAGAUAAUUAGAUAGGAGGGAUAAUUGAGGCCAGAAAUACAGUUUCAUUUUUGGUAACCUAUUAGCUAAGUUUUUUUUUUUUUUUUAACAGUAAUAUGUUGUAAUUAAGAUAAAAGAUUAUCCUUUUAUUUUACUCUCUCCCAAACAUUAAUACAAACAUAAUCUAUUAUAUUUUAACUGUAAGUUGUUCCGUGAAUUAAUUUUGGGUAGAAUAAUUUUUAUAGCUUUUGCUGCAAUCAAACUAGCAGACAUUUGUUUUCAAGUCACUAUGAAGAGUUUAGGAUCAGAUGGCUCUUGCUACAUAUUAAAGUGAUCUUCAUGGUUCUAGUGGACAAUUCUACAUUGAAAUCUACUUUUUAUGUAAUUACAUACUUGGUCAUUCCAACACUAAAUGGAAAAACAUAUAAAGCUGUACCUUUAUAGUAGCUAGUGCUACUUCCAUUAUUGCACACUGCCUCAGCGUCAGGCUUUUGGCAUCAUCUCGAAUCACAUGGUCCUGCAAAAGGAGUUAAGAACGUAGCUUUUUAUGAAAGAGAGACAGCAUUGUGGCCUGUCUACUUUUCGAAAAGCAGAACUUUCAAAUACUCCCUAAACUCUUAUGUUUAACAGGGAUUAAUUCUACUUCAGGAUUAUUUUAGAACAAAUUACAACCUAAAGCAACUGUUGUUCCUUGAAAACAGAGACUGUAAGGAAAAAGAUCCAAUUCUUAAUACUCAGUACCUGCAUCACUUUCUUUAAUUACUAGAAUAUGUUCUGUGAAACAGGUGAGUACGUACAUUUUCAGACCAAAAAAUUCUAUUGGAUGUUACUGAAACAAUUCAUCGUAGUAAAGAACUUGAAAUGUUAACUAAUGUUGGUUAAUGCCCCAUGUUAUUUAUAAUAGCUAAAAAGGGUUCUUACUACAACACCAGUUAAAUAGAAUCAUAAACUAACUAUGUUCCUGUGAACUUUAUCUAAUAUAAGCAUCCUGUGACUACUUAAGCUUCAUUUUUACUCCAACAAACUCAGUCAUUAUUUAUAGAAGCACAAUUUUCUGCAUUUUAUGUCAAUUCUGAAGUGAAAUUGGAAAAUUGAUUAGUAAACAACUGACAGUAUCAAACAUCUCAGGCCUCUCCGAAAUAACUGUAUGGACUUCAGUGAUGUGGUGCCAAUGAGUUCGUUGCAGAGGUAUAAGUCAUUUUUCAAUACCUAUUUUCAGUAAUAUGCUGAACAAGUACUCCUAUCUUAAUUUUUUAUCAUCAUUUAUUCUUAAUCUAUUUGGAUGAGACUGAAAAAUCAUUACUCAUCUAUGAACAGCUACUGCUAUGUUCAAGUUUAUUACAGUAAAUAAGAGUAAGAAUUUUGGCCUCACAGUCACCAAUACUUCAUCUGGUUUCCUGUUAGAGCAAGCCAUUCACUGUUUCAGUUGGCUACAUUACCUUGAGUUUUGAGAGUUGUCCAAGAUCUUUGGCUGCACUGAAUAUCAUCUGGGGCCCCUGCAAUCACAUUGAAAAUUCAGAAACCAGAAUCAAUAGAGUGUAGUUGCUUUGUAUGUCCACGUAUCUUGUUUUCUGCUAGGACAUUAUCCAAAAUCACUGUUUUGCAAAGCUAAAUGAAAAGUUAAAUUACACUUGAGACACAUUUAUAAUUUUGAUAAGAAGUAGUUGAAUCCCUUCAGCAUGAUACUUGAUACAAAUCAAAUAUUGACUUUCCAAUAGCGGUUUCUUGUGCUCCUGUCUGCUAUCUAAUUUUGUCUAAUUUUUUUAAGCUAAGGCUAUGCAGUGUUUCAAUGUCAACAUGUCCAUAAGUAAGUGCUAUGCUAAUAUAGAUAAUCACAAUGGGAAGUGAACAGCCUGAAGAACCUGCAAAAGCUUACCUCAUUGUCCAGAGUGAAAUCCUUAGUUGUGUAACACAUAGGAUAGUGAUCUAGCAUUAUGCCAAAGCUAACUUUUUUAAAGGUACUGUACUGUUAUGAAUUUAAACCCAUAUUUUUACAAAGCCAAAUACUGGCAAGAUACCAAAGGACGGUGACUAACUCUUUGCGUGAAAUAAACAGCAUCCUACUAUAUAAUUUUAUGAUCACUGUUUUAUCACAAGUACUCCAAGAAACAUAAUUACUAGUGCAGUUACUUAGCAGCUCAGCAAGACAUAGCUCUGGAUGUCUGGAUUUCAGGAGAACAAAAUCAAUACAAAUUACAUAGUGUAACAUAAAGCAAUUUUUCAUUAGUAUUUUCUGUUCCUAAAGGUUUCUGUUUCCAGAUCUUGUUUCACUGUACAUAUGCAAUAUAGGACUACAAAUAUAGAGCUACAUCUCAAAUUUUCAUUAUUUAUUAGUAGGCAGAAGAGUAAGAUAAAUGAGAUAAUUAAAAAAUAAACUCCAGUUUCUGAAUGCCUCUCACCCUCAGAGAGAAAGUAAUACUCAAAGCUGCAAAAAAUGGGAAAUCUCUUCUACAGUAUCCUACCUUUCAUCGAUUUUAAUUGUGUUCUCAGUUGUAACUAGAAGUAGCAAAACAAAUGGAGCAGUCUCUGCCUUUGUCAGUCUCUGCUUCUUCUCUACCCCUCCUCUGUUCUGUGUUCCAGAUGUCCACCCACAGCUUAAUAAAGUAUCCGCUUGCUAAACAAGCUGUUCUGAAAUGGGAUGUAACUAUCAUCACCAGUUACUGCUUGGUGUGAUUCUGAACAUUAGUAAAGACAACACUGGUGCUCACAAAUUGUAGAAGAUAAACAGAAAUGUGUACGCAGUUGGCAGUGAGAGGUUAUUUUUGCUGUAGUUAGUAGACAAGUAAUUAAUUUUUAAAUAGAGGUCAAUUUUCAAGCUGUUCAGGGGAAAUAUGUCCAAAAACGUUGUUUUAUAAUCCUAACUAACUGAUACAUCCCAUACCCCAAGUGGGCUUACUCAGCCUUAGAUUGGUAAUUCUGCAUUCUUGGUAACCAAUUAAAAAGAGCAGCAAAAAUGCUCAACUCUGAACCACACUGGUCUAUGAUUCAUGGUGUAACAACUGGUGUUGCAUAAAGCAAAUAAAUGAUAGCAAAACUCCUGCUUGAAAAUGUUACCACAUUAAGCACUUACACCAAAGUAAAUAAGUUUUACACCAAAAUUUUAGAAAAGCAAGUUCAAAAAUACCUAAAAUAUAAAAUUGACAUGGCCAGUGAAGGACAGCCUGAUUCUGAUUGUGUGUAUGUAACAACUACUAACAGAUUCAGCAAAUGGAGGCCUGGCUGGGCUGGCAGAAUUAGCUUUACUCUAAAAUUACUAAAAGCUCAUAUUUCAUUUCUACCUUAGCACGAUCUUCCCAUAUUGUGUUAGGUUUCCCCCCUGCCCUUCAGCGAUUUGAUUUCAUACCGAAUUUAUUAGAACCUUUAUACACUUACAGUUUGGUCUGUCAGUGGUGGAAGCACAAUUUGUUUUUCUAUUCUGUUCAAGACUAUCUUCCACAACUCCUUUAAAACCCGUUUCAGAACUGUCUUCUCACAGAUUUUUGCAGAGAGGCUUAAACUGGAACAAAAGAAAACACAAAUGAGUCUCCAAAACCAGCAUUGAGACUUCAGAGGUGCUGUGUCACUAUAUCUUCAGAUCAGUGGCCAUUGUGGCUAAGCAUUUCUGUACCAAUAAUAGUUAUUUCACACUUUUAUAAAUAAAUAUUUUUGAUUAGUAGAAGGUUUUCAGAUUAGAAAACCAUAUAAAUCCUGACUAACCCUCUAGUAGCACAUAACCCUUGAGUAAAUUAACCUGUAGGGCUGGGUAGACUGCCAGAAGUAAAAGGCUGACACACAAAUUUAGCAGCUACAAUUUUUCUUUUUUUUGCCAGGUUGGGAAACUGUGUACUGUACUCAACAGUAUUACAAUAGUCAACUCUUAUCAUAAACACUUUAAAUAAGUGCAGCUCUUAGUAGUAACGCAGAGAAGUAUUUUGGAAUUCCAGUGUCUGCCUUCAGCAUAGAGCCUUACAAAUAACAGAAACACUGUUGCUUUUUUGCCUUUUUAACUAACUUACAGUGCCAAAAACAAACACUCCUUCCCACUCCCAGGGCAGAGAAUGUGCAGAGCUGGCCAGAGCAAAAAACAUUCACAGAUGAGAGAGAGUGCAGAGCCUGGGAUGAAACAGACCUCAGAGGCUACCAGGAAUACUGAACCUAUUCUGCUGCCUCAGUCUCUCCAGACGAGGACUUAGCAGGACAGUCUUAACAAGCAUUCCACAAACGAGGGAUUUCUAUCUCAUAUAAUGGCUCCUGGAAGCCACUGGCUUCCCUGAGCCUGUUCUCUGCUCAGCACCUUCCUCAAAUCUUCUCAGCACAGCUCCAACUUUAACACCAGUGCUAUUCAACCAAUUCCUCCUAGUUAUGCUUCUUGUUCUACUUUACUUUAAGCAAGAAAGAUACUCCCUCAUCAGCAUCCUCAGCACUCCUUUUUCUACCUUCACGUUGAAAAUGUCUGCCUUGGAGAAAUAUACAUGAAGAGCCAAAGUGUUAAAAGGGUAACUAACUCACUCAUUUGGUUAAAGGUUAACACAUACAUAUGCAACUCAGGAUCUGAUGCUCAGGAUCAGUAUCAUGCUGCUUAGUCUCAAGGCCACUGCUGUUUCACAAAUGCCAAUAAUGACAUAGAAUCACAGAAUUUUAGGGGUUGGAAGGGACCUCUGAAGAUCCACCAGUCCAACCCCCCUGCUAAAGCAGGUUCCCUAGAGCAGGUUACACAGAAAAGCAUCCAGGUGAGUUUUAAAUGUCUCCAGAGAAGGAGACUCCACCACCUCUCCAAGCAGCCAGUUCCAUUGCUCUGUAAACCUCCCAGUAAAGUUUUUCCUCAUGUUCAUAUGGAACUUCCUGUGCUCCAAUUUGUGUCUGUUAUGGCCAAGGACAGCAAGGUGCUUACAGACAGCACAGGCACAUGCCUUUCUGAACAGCUGAUGCCGUUACUACUGGACAAUGAGGAGAGGAGACAUGCUUACUCUCAGGGCCAAUUUGAGUUUGUGUCAUUAUUUACUCAGUGGAAAAAAAGUAUAAAAAUUAAGCUCUUCUGUAAAUCAGUGGGAAUCUUUAAAUGGUGGCUAAGUUUUUAACAUUGUGGAAGUGCUUAUAAAUAAGCAGGGGACACUGUGUGCCAGCCUAGUCCAUAUGCCAAGAAAUUUCAAGAUAUGCAAUAGAGCGUUCAGCACAAUUUUCUUUUUACAAGUGCUUAUGGAGCGCAGAACAGACACAGCUCUGUUACAGUACCUCAGAACACGACAAGAAAUAGAAAGGCAGAUAUACUGCUUAUGGGAAAGUUUCUUAGUGUAAGUAAACGUGGUAAGUGUAGUAUCCUGUACACAUGAGAACACUACAAAUAUUAAAAAUACUGCAAACAGUCUCUAGGUAUUAUCCGUGCUUCAGGGUAAGGCUAAGCAUACAUCUUUAACUCUAGCGCCACAUUUCUAACAUGCCACACACAGUAAUGCGUCACACUUACGUUUUGUCCAGGAAAUCCAUGAGAGGCCGAAGUACAAUCUCUGCAUCAAUGGCUGCGCUGUUCUUGUUGGCUGCUGCGGUCCCAUUUCCUCUCAUUUGAUUGAGUUCAGAGCUCAUUUGUCUUACACAAUCUUCUAUUAUAGACUGGAAACUAUAGGAUAAAGGAAAAAAAAAAAGAGAGAAUUAAAGAAUUCUGGGAGAGAACACAAGACAGUAACCUACUCUAGGGAACCCGAGUUUAGCAAGGAGGUUGGACUGGAUGAUCUCCAAAAAUUCCUUCCAACUCCUACGGUUCUGUGAUUUAUGUUUUUGCAUCAGGUUCUUCCUCAAGACUCCUUUUUCUGCAAUGAAAAUGAAUCUUUUCCCAAACAAAACAUACUUCAGGUGCUACAGACUGAAAAUAUCACCUCCUAUGCAUUGUGUAAUCAGUGCAACUAUUGUUUUAUUUUUCUUCUUUCAGUUUUGUCAUUAUGCUUUUCAUGCCCUUGUGGUGAUAUUAAGUAGUUAUUUUCUAGAAGCGACAGAUGUAUUAGACUCUGCAAUUUAGGAUAUGGUAGACUACAACCUGAAAACAACUCCAGAUUUUUUUGUGUGUGUGUGAAAGCAGAGCAGGAAAGGGGACCAGAAAUCAUUUUUUAAAUUUUGUGGCUAAUAUGAAAGAAGCUUUGAUAUUUUUCUUGAGGACAAACAGAAAACUUCUCUUCAUUUUGCCCUACUUGGCUCACUUUGACGUUUUCCUGUGUUUCCCACAGUCAAUACUAUCAGCAGCUUUACUUCUUUGCAGUGAGUUGGUGCAGCUAAAACAUUUGAACUGCUUAAAAUAAUCUUUUACCAAAAACCCUAACAUUUAGAAGUUGAUACAGACACCUUUUCUACUUCAAGGUGUGUGUGAACAAGUUGUUGCUCCUCAAGUUGGGUCACUUCAGCUGAUGUGCAAAUCAUUCAGUUUUCUAAUCAAUAUGGUAGACAAAUCUGGGUUACAUUCUGGUGUCACUGAUGUGAUGCAGGCUUCAGUCAAUAUAUUUAAACAGUGCAGAACAACAGUUAUUCAGAAUCAGCAGUUCAGAUGCAGAAUAAGGCCUCUGCACACACAGUACUUUGUUUUAGAAUUAGUUUGUGAACAGAACUGCAAAACAGAGGCCAUAAUUAUACCGAACCUUUAAAUGUGAAAAGAUAAAUGGCAAAGAUUAACUGUAAAGCUGCUAUUGAAGCUGCUCAUGUAAGUACUUGGGACCAGUCCCUCCAAUAAAAACAGACUUUGCUUAACAAGUACCGUUGCAGCACUAAUCCCUCUUUCUUAGAUUCCUUUCUAAUUUGAAACAAAAAUAACUAGCAGUUUCUCAUAGCAGAGACACACUACUGACUCAGGACUACACCCAUUCAAGAGUUCACUGCACACUGAUUAAUCAAAGAUUCUGAGAAUAAGGCUCUGUCUGCAGACAGUUCUUGCAGAGCCACAGGUCUGCCCAAUUACAAUGACCAUUUGAAGCAGGCUCAACACAGGCAGAUACCUCUGGUUUCCACAGAACAUGUAGAAAAAGAUUUCAGUUUCGGGGGUAACAUAAACAUGGCCAGAGAGAAAAGUUUAACGUAGCAUCAGGCAAGAACAAACCAGCAAUUUUUGUUUUCUAAAAAGCAGAACAAAAUUUCAGAGCCUCACCUCUGUAACACAUUUGUGCCCACAGACCAUUUUCAGCUUUCCUUGUAGAGAGGUUACUGCUGUAUGUGUCAGUGUCUGACACACAUAUACACACUCACAGAUGGACACUACUUCAUCAGGGCAGGAAUAAACUGUAUCUCAGGACGUAUAAACAGCCACCAAGACAGGCAACGAGGCAGGCUUAUGAACAGAAAUAUAUCUCUAAGAUUUGAAGUAAAGUAAGUGAUUACCUUGUGGCAUACGUUACACUGAGUUCAUUUAAUACGUUGCUAAGUUUUGCUUGAAGUUCUUUUAGAACAGUACUAGCUUCUUGAUCCAACUGCAAAGAGAUAAGUCAUGUUAUAUUUUUCUUAUAAAAUAUAUCUUGGGUUUUCUGUUAAAUUAGCACACUUGGAAUUAUAUGCAAUGAUAUACUGCACUAUGGAAAACCAAAUAUGGAAACACCUGCUACAACACAGGAGUAUUUAAUAAACCUAAAAAUCCAAUUGCCAAUUAAAGUAAAAUAUUUGAUAGUAGCAGUGAAAGGAUUACAAUAUUGGAAAUCAAAACAGUGCCACUGAGCAAUGACCUUCUGUGAGAUGGUGCAAACUGUGGCAGAAUAGAAUUACCACAUCAGGCCAAUGGUAUUUAUAAAGCACAUCUAAAGAAAGAUGCAUGGAGAAUUAGUGCUUGUGUUAAUGUUACUGUUUUUUCUUUUUUAAUUUGGGUGUAUAUUUUACCUAUGGCAUUACUAUUAAUUAAUCUUGUGAUUCCCUUGGAAGAUGUUUCCAUUUUCCCAUUAAUGCAGCAUGAAAAUAGAACAGCUUGGACUGGAAAAGAUGGCUUCAAGACUAUCCAUGCUGCUUCUAUUGAUACAGCACGAAGGAAAGGGAUCCACUGUAUUUCAGUGUUUCUAUAUCUAAAAGCCAUUAAGACAUAAAUAAUUCAAGCUCAGCGCAACACAUUCUGAUGUACAGGGAGAGCAGCUCCUGUAUCUUUGAUACAGGUUUUCUAAACAUAGGAAAAGAGAAAAUGCAGGGAAGAAAUGUAAUUUUACAUUUACAGGGGUGAGGAUUCAUGCAUGUAUAUUUAAUCAAAAAGGUACUCUUUUGAUAUUGAUCAGCAGCUUGGUUUUUUUGCUAUGCAUUCUUUUCCAAAUUACACUAAAUGACCUCUUUUUUUCCUCCUUAAGUAUUUAAGAAAAUAGUUACAGUCCAUUGUAAGAUAUGAUUGAUGAUCAUCAGGAUCAACAAUUAAUUAAGACAAUCAAGAAUAAAUUAAUAGCUGAUGUUCCUCAUCUUUGAGCUACCUAUAUAACAGUAUUAGAGGGAGGGUAAUUUUCAGAUACAAUCCUCAAAUUCUAGGCUCACCUCUGCAAUAAUGUCAGAUAGAGAUUUUCAGACAAAUUCAAAGAAAAUGUUGUGUUUGGAAUACAUAAACAUGUCUGUGUUUGCAACCUCAUAUCUUUCAACUGCAUGAGUGUUUAGUGCUUGCUCUUCAUCUGAUGCUUCAGAGUGCUGUGGUUUAAUAGGCCAGCAUUUCUAAUCGUACUUCAGCCACGGGGGAAGCUGUGCAACAGCACACUGGAUGGCUUACAUAAGACUACACAGGAAUUGUAAGGCAAAAUAAAGAAAGCACACACAAACCCUGAAACACCCCUAAAGAUCUACUGCAUUCUAGUCUCAGGGUAUUCCUUAAAGCUUACUUGUGGUUUAAAAGCUUAGAAAAUCUAACUUUUCCAUUACAGUCCGACAAAUAUCUGAAAUAGAUGAACAGUGCAAUUAGUAUGCAUCCUUUAGAAAAUAUCCAGUGAUGUGUAGUACUUAUCUAAUCUGAGAAGCUGCUAUUUUAACACUGUGAAUUUUGUGAUUUAGUUUUUAUUUAUUUUGCAUUAUGAGAUGUUUUGUUGCUUCUCCACUUCGUGUCUUAGUAAUUUCCCUCUAGAUAAACUCUGGCAGUUCAGACGCUUAAAGUGAUUGCUUUCCAUCAUAUGAAAAGCAGAGAUUAAAAAACUAAUUUUACCUAACUGUCUAUAUUAGUUAGCAAAGUUCGAGUUGGCUAGCAAAGGUACCAGUCUUUCCUGGAAGUGCAGUUCACUAGGGAACUGUGCCACCCCCUUUGGUAGGAUGUGUGUGGAACACAAACUGAAGAACUCCACUAGAAUGUUAACAAAUUCAACGAACAACAGAACACAAAAGCACUCACACUGAACAUGGUACACUUCAGAGAUAACAAAGAAUGCUGUGCAGGCACAAGUCUCAGAAUUUCUUAUCAUGUUAUGCACAAGCUAGAGAAUCUUCUUAUUAGGACUACAAAUGUAGGUACAUCCUAUUGGGGGGUGUUGUGAAGCCCCAGAAGUACAUUUGCAAAAUUCACCCAGAAUUGGACUUAUUCAACCUCAGAGAGAUCAGUUACUGAUAUCAGAUUGUGAACAAAACACAUAAUAGAAAGUGCAUGCAUGCGUUUGAAGUGAGCAUUGUGCUCAAAAACUGCACAAACAAAUUUGUGAGCACAGCUAGAGGCAGUUGGCAGGACAGCCAGCCUUGGGUGUGCACAUGCUCAUGCUUACUAGUGCAGCAUCGUAGGGAGGAGUGGAAUAUAAAGAGGUAUGCAGGCUGACUGUCUAGGUGAUGAAUACCUGGUGGUGAUGACUGAGAAUAUUUUAGCAAUAAUUCUAAGUGCUGUUAUUAAUUUUGUUUAACUACAGGACAAUAUGAUAACUUGAGUGCUUCACUGAAAGUAAAAUGUGCACUUUUCCUUUACUUUACCAGCUGUCCUAUGUGUGCCAGUGAGUUCCUACGGCAAAUCAGAGUCCUUGACUAGCAUCAUCCAAAUACACCUCAGCAAUUUCUCUGAUGUGACAGAGCUGACAUGGGACCUAUUAUGAUAAUUCUAUACUGUGAAAGUCCUUGGCGAGUACACUACUGGCAAAGAUGGUUUUGGAAUGGCCUUAUACAGUGGAAAUAAGAUGCAGUAGCUUUUGGUGCUACUGCACAUCACACACUAAUUAUUAUGGGUUGUCAUCCACAUGCAGAAAGUGGUACUGUUUCCCUCUUAAAUAAUCUAUAAAUCUGCAGUUCAUGGCCUAUCCGCACUUAAAAAAAUGACACAGUGCUGACAGCAGAAAAUCACAAACAUCUCAAGGAGGACAUUUCUGGUGUGUGCUUUUGAAGGACAUAGGGAUUUUAGCAAUGAUGCAAGCAGCUCCUGCAUUUUUUUCUUGUUUUUAACCAGACUUGCUUGUUCUCAGGAAAGUAUUGUGUGGGAAAUGCACAGAGAUGUGCAAAUGAUUUAGCUUAAUGAAGCUGACAUGCUGCAAAACUUAUGCAGGCUGACGUCACAAGACUCGCUACAUGAGAUAGAAUCGCAUAGCUAUUACUAUGUAAAACUGCUAUGAGGCAAAGUCAUUUAUCCAAGACUUUCCAGUAAACAAGAGAAGUUCAGAGCUUUGUGGCCUACUAUUGCUAUCUAACUAGAAGGUAAAGAUGAAAACUACCAUCUAUUUCACUUGCUGAUCUGCUGCGAGAUUACUCCACGUCUGACAGUGCAGAGUUAUUAUGGGAAGGGAAGUCUGUGAGAAAUUGAAUUCCUCAUACUAGUUUUUAUUAGUAGCAAUCCAGGAGAACAGAGACAAACAUAUUCAGCUGCAGAAAUCUCAACCACAGUCAGAUGAUGAAUGUUAGGUCUAAUCUAGCCCUAACAUUACCCUACUUUGCAAUCAACUAGAAUGAAAAAAUGAAAGGGAGGCAAAAUACUACGCUGAUCACUGUCUGAGAUUAUGUUAUAUGGGGAUGGAGAUGAAGUAUCUGCCGUAUUUGGGACUUUUAUUCUUCAAGCCUUACGUGCUCCUGUGGUGUCUGAUAAAUAAUAAUAAAAACCAAUCAAAUAACAACAACAAACAACCUGAGUAUUUUUUUCAGGAAAAGAAAAACUAACUGAACAGAUAAUUGCCGAGGGAAAAAGGUUUGUAAAUAAUAAAAAGGUUUGUAAAUAAUAUGCCAUAACUAAUUUAAGAACUGAAAGAGAAGAAAGGCCAUUUAUCUUAGUUUCUUGGGUUGCAUUUACAAUUCAUGGCAUGAAUGUGCAGUCUAAUCUUAAAAUAUGAGGCUGCUCCAGCAAUAACAUCUCCUAUUUAUUUCCAUGAAAACUAAAGCAGAUACAAAGAGCACGAUAGUACUAUUUGAUACAACAAGUUCUUGGUGCCGAAACACUAUUUUUUAACAGUCACCACCAUUAGAUACGCAUGUUUGCGAGCAGUGAGCAAGGGCCAGCACAUUGCUCUCAUAAAAAUCAUUAAAACUGUGAUUAUUUUUUCUUAUUAUUGUUUACAAAUACCAAAAAUGAGUUAAAGUUCUGAUGGAUUUGACUGCUUGUGAUAUAAGGCGUUAGAUGGAGGUAUUCUACACCGUAAUUUAAUGCACAGCAAAUCUUGUUAACUGCAAAUUUUGUACUGUUUCCAAAGGAAAUUACAGAUGUGCAAGUUACUUUUACAUGUGCUAAAUCGGAACCUCUCUAAUUAGAAUUCCAUUUGACUGCAUUUAUCUAUAAUUUCACAGGUUGAAUAGCUUGUGUAUGCUUUCCUAAUGAGACUAACUAGUUACUUCAGAAAAAAAAAAAAAUACAUAAAAUAGUUACAAUCAGGGAAGUGACAGGUAUUUAUCAGAUCUGGCACUUCAGUGGUUCUUUCUGUCUAUAACAGGCGUCAGCCUCAUCCUUUCUCUAUCAUGACCACCCAGCUGACUGUCCCAGGUACAGUGAAUCUAAUUUGGACAAUUCAGAACUAUUCUGCCUGAAUCCUUUGUGGGUCUGGACCACUGUCAUCAAAUCAAAGACUUUGAUGUAAUACUGUUGCACAUAACUUGCUUUCCUUUCAAGUUUUUGUUGUUGAUGUUUUUUGGUGCUUUUUAAAUUAAAAAAAAAUUGCUAUAACUCAUGUCUCUAUACUCUGCUAUAGUUAGUACAUUCAUUUUAUUCUUUAUCUAAAUACUACUUUUUAACAUGACAGGUUUCAAUGUCUCAAAAAGGUGUCAAUUUCUUCAUAAGCUUUCAAAACAAGUAGUUAAAAACAACACAUUUGUGACUACCAACUGCAUGCACGUGUACCUAUCUGUGGAAGGUGAAUUCCAAAAUUAGACUGAGAUCUUCAUAAUUUCAAAAUGUUUUCUGACACAUUAGUCGAGUAAACGUGAUUUUAUAGAAAUAAAUACAUAUGGCACUUUUGGAAGUGUUUACACAGCAGACUAUCCGUGGGCCAGGGAAGCAAUUGUUACCUUGGUUUUUGUGCUAUUCAACUAAAAUGAAUGAAACCAACAGCUAGGCUUUCAAUUCAAUUCUGUCAUGAAUUUGAAAAAGAAUAUGUUAGUGUUUAUUCUGAUUAGCCAAAAAUAAUUCUUAACAGGUGUAGAACUGUAAUUUUUACUCAUCCAUAUGAUUGUUUGACACAAGAGCUAAAGGCUAAGAUUAGUAAAAUAUUGAAACACAUUUAUGUCGCUUUACUACCGAGUGGACUUGAGACACUUCUAAAGUCAUCUUAAAUAUAAAAGGAGAUAAAGCUAAGCAUAUUCUGGACUGUUGAAUAGCUGCUCUUGUUAAAAUAAGUGUCUAAUCCUGGAUACAAGUAAGCCCUCAGAGAUAGUCAGAAGAGCACUUAAAAGAAUGUUUUGUAGCUUUUAAUACAUUCUGAAAGACUUCACGCUAUCUGCCUAGUAAAACAUUUCAAUGUAGAGAGUCGACUGAGUGCCCAAGCAUAGCUCUUUUUGAUUUUUGUUGAUAGGGAAUUACACAAAUGCAUCAAUGAAGAUUAGUAGGAAAUGUGACUGUUCUUAGUUUUAGAAAAUAUGGUCAGGAAUAAUAAAAGAUGCUUACUAUCACAAACCUCAUAAGAGAAUCUCUCUCCUUCUUUCUUCUGCUCAGUGGAUUGCAAGUUAAAGGCAUUAGACAAAGACAUGACACAUUACAGACAAAGCACAAGGCACAUAUUCUGCACAAUAUUCAGAUAUGGGCAAAACAUACUGAUACAUAAAAAGGCAAAUUAUGAUCCAAUACAAACAUUAAAGUAAAGCUGGCACUACACACUACAACACAAAACACCCACUGCUGGUAGACCUUUACAGAUCAUUAGCAUGUUUCUGAGAAAUAGUGCUAAGUCUUUCUGGCAUUCUCAGAGCAUUAAACAGUUAUUGCAUGUACUACUUGCUAAAUUUUGAUUUUCUUGGCAAGCAGAAGCAAAGGCUGUUGCUGGAUUGAAAACGUGGUGCUAAUGAUCUCUAAGGAACAUUGAAUGAAAGAGGAAAAGUUACCACUCACCUCCUUCCCUCCCAUGGACUCAAACAUUUUCUCAAGCUGCACUCGUAACUGUUGAAUGUUGUUCAUCAAGAUACAGGGCUACAAAGAAAAAAAAAAGAUAACAUAUGAGAAAUAGGCAUGCUGUAUUCAGGCAGCUGUGCUUUUAGAGGAUGAUCUGUGUUUCUUGACAUGUGCAGCUUCCUCUUCCUGCUUUAUUUCACACUUGCCCAGUUAGUACAUCCACUCUGACAGGGACUGCCCAUUAUGCCUUUAAGAAAAUGUUGCCCCACAGGAGACUGGGUCCCUUCUCCCAAGGAGUUGGGCAGUUUUCAGAUCCCAGUGUUUCAUCAAUUGCAUUCAAUUAAGUACAAUUAAUCAAGAAGUGCACUGUUAUCUAUUUGAGAACAGAUGCAGUAAUGGCCAAAGUACUCUGGGAGUGAAAAUAGAUGAGAGUAGAGGGAGUACCAGAUUACUUUCUAGAUGCAGUCUUUGCAAAGAGGUGUGACAGCACUGGAACUCAGAAAAUGUCUGAUGCACAAGUAUAUGAAUAAAUCAACAGGCAAUACUUUCAACUACAGAAUAUUAUUCCAGACCUGUAAUAUUUUUCUUGGUCCAAAAUUCUGUGAAUGGGCAAUACAAUUUUGUAAACACUUUAGUCUAAAAAUAUUGCUGCUUAAGCUAAUUAAGGCAUAACAAAAUCACAGUGUAAAGGACAGCAAUUGCUUGAUUAAUAUAAGGUAAACAGUAAAGCGUAGAUGAGAUUAAGCAUCUUAUUACAAAAACAUGGAAGAAAUAACCUCUUGAUAGAUUUUUAGUUUGUUCAGAUGACAUUAUAGGCAAGUUUAGAAUUGUGUGGGAGGAGCAACAAGACAGCACUUGUGAAAGUAAUUCUGCUUGGCCAAGGACAGUGUGUUCUAGUGCUUAAUUGGGAUAAUCGAGACAUUGAAGUAAUAUAUUUUAAUGAAAUAGAUACACACUUUUCCAAACAAGAAGGUAAUAUAACAAUUUGAGCAACUGAUAAUCAACCGUACCUUUCUGGCUAUUAGCAUGUUUCAGUGUAAUGCUGAAACGUGGUGGGAUUAUAUUUUGUAUUGAAAAAGUCAGGAACAAAAUUUAGCUUUAGCUACUGCAAUUAUGCUCAGAGGAACUCAGGGUCGUAAGCCCUUCUCAAUUGAAGUAAAAAGAGAAAUCUGAUCUAACUUCUUAAUCUUACAUUACUGCUUCUUACUCAAACAUGCUAUUUGCCCUCCACCGAAAAACAGUUGGUGGUGGGUAAUGGUUGAAAUAUUGCCUCUUUCCAGUCUCUUCAGAAAUCCACAAACCCCACUUCUAGUUACUUAUCUACCUUCUGUUCAUUUCAGAUGACUAAAAUUGUGUCUGCCUCUCCUUAGCCAUAUCUUCCUUUCUACCAUAUUCAUUAUUCUAGAGACUAUCUGCAAUAUAAAUCAGUGAUUAUGAUUUCUGAUGAGACAAAAAACAGUUGAACAAAAUGUCAGGGUUCUCUUGUUUAAAGCAAAUGGAAAUGCCUUUGCCAAUAUAGAGAAGCUAUGAGAUAAAUACUUCAUUAAUGAGGCAUUUUAAACAUUUUCUUUUGGGCUGGCUAAGGUGGCUCUCACAGUGCCUACACCUACCUUAGCCCAAUGCAAAAUAUCUAUUGCUAUUAGUAAAUAACAGAACUGGAGCUUAAAAACUGUUUUUUUACUUCAAUAUGUUAUGUCCUUCAGAACACCCUUUGCAGCGAAUUAGAGGAAUCAGGCAGACAGAUGAAACAAUGUGCCAAAGAGAAUAGUGACUACCAUGCAUAAAAAUCAGGUUUGUUUGUAAACUCUGACAAGAGCUGGAAGAUUAGGGGAUGUUUUUACAUUAUAUGCUUCUUUAUGAAAAACACCUCUGGUAUGUUUUCAUCUGAACAGUUGACACAUACAUGUUAUAGUGCAUAGUGAAAAUACUGAUUUGAAAUAGAGUUCCAAAAAUGCAAUUAUAAUUAUGACGAGUAUAAGUUUAAAUCUCUUCUGUCAAACCAAAUGCAGAAGAUGGGCUUUUAAUAUAACUGAACUCACUGGAUCAAAUGAUCCUUUAUUAAGCUAGAAGCACAUGUUUCAAAAUAACAGAUUCUACUAAAAGUAAGUUAUCCCCCCUAAAGGCAUUUUUAUAAUCCUUUAUGAUAUAUAUAUAUAUUAAUAUUACAAUAAUGUAAUUAUAUUUUUUCCAUCUAAAUCCAUAGAAAAGUUUGGCAUCCUACGUUGGUUUCAGAAAUCAACUACUAUUAAAAAAAUCCUAUUGUACAGGCCAAAAGUCUACACAGUGUGACUCAGUAGCAGAACACUAUGCAUUACAGCUCAAUUCUUACAGAAAAUGGUAAAGUUAAUUUUAGUAUUAAAAUGGAAGAAGUAGAAAAUACAGCUACAAGUUUUAGUUCAUUUUACAUUAGAGAACAGUUAUGGCUCAUACUGGUUCAUUAGCCCCUUGUAGGCUAUGAUGCAACAGAACAGCACAUGACUUUCUCACUGCUGCAUGGAGAUUGGCAGUAGCAGAAAAGUCAGCACAUAUUCUUUGUAUAGGAAACUCUUCCAGAAAUAUUACUGGUAAAGAGAGGUGAGCCAAUGCAGAAUGAAAACUAAGUUUUUUUUUGUUUGUUUGUUUGUUUUGUUUUGUUUUUUUUGCUGGAAAAUUGGAAAUAAAAUAUGGGAUGGCAAUAUUGAUUACUUUCAUAUUUGGAGUAUACCACUGUAUAAGACAUCUAGGUAGAAACAAAACACAGCUUUGUACUCACCACAUUUUCUUUGUCACAGUAUGAACUGAAGUAACUUGAAAUAAUUGCAGCAUACUGAAGCAGCACUUUGUUGAUAGUCUAGGAGAAGAGAAGAAACUUUAAUAAAUUUCAUCAUGUAAAACAAAAAAAAAAGAACAAAGUUUUUUUAAUGAGCUAUAGGUUUUACAGGUGCUUACACGUUUUGUGUAUUUUAUUUUACUUUAGAUAUCAUAUAAACUAUCCUGUAAACAAACUUUCAAAUCCUUGCCGGAAAGUCUCUAUGUUAUCCUUAAUGGAACGCAGUUUUCAAUAGCAGAGGGAUUGCUUCUGAACGACACUGAAAUUAGCAUUUAAAUACAAUGGCAACACAAUAUCACUCUCUGAAGUUUAGUUGAGAUGCAUUGAUUUUAAUCUACCUUUGCAAACCUUCUCAUUAAAUGAGACAGUGCUUCUGGAUUAGGACACUCCAGUUUCCUGAUAAUCUCAAAGCUUUGAUUGAGCUGUGUGAAGACGUCAACCACUGAACAUGAAAAAAGGGCAUGGUCUGAUGUUUGCUGAAACUAGAGAAAGAAAACAUUCAAAUAGUUAAUACUUGUCCAAACUGUAUAAACUGAUUUUCCUACUUGAAACGUUCUUUCUAGAGACAGGAAAAGUAUUAAAUAAAAUCUUACUGCUAAUACAGAGACUUUUCACCUUGAUAUGACUUCAGUCCCUUUAGAAAUAAAAGAAAAAUUCUCUUUCAUGACAUCAGUAUCACAUCAGAGUUUAACAAAACUCUGAUGGAAGUCAGUGGGGAGCUUAGACAGAUAAAAUUAGAGCAGGAAUUUGUGCACAGGGUUGUCUUUUCAUACAGUUUUUUACGGUGCAUCUUGGGAGGUCUUAAUGAAGAUACUGCAGGAUCAAGUGUACCUCUUGUUUUGCAACACUAAUUAACUGCCUUGCCUUAGUACAUUCUUUUUCUUUUAAAAAAUAUGGACUCACUCCAUCUUUUUUGUCUCUUUCCAGUGCUCCGUGAAGAAACUCCAUUGAGACAUCCUCAUUUUCAUCCAGCCACUGAAUGACAAAUGGUUCAAACCAUCUGAAAAUUAAAAACAGUCUUCUAAAGUAACUACAUUCCUUAAAGAUUUGUCACUGCGUCUUCAUGUCUGUUAUAGUUGCCAUAAGAUACUGUGUUUAACAAAACACAUUUCAGCUUAACUCUGCUAUUCAAUCUGGCCUUGCCCAGUGAUGUAGAAUUUGUAGUGGCCAUCAAAGGAAUGCACUUAUGUUUUGCAGAUGAUCAUAUUCAUAUUUAUUUUAUAAUGUGUCUUUCCCAGUAUUGGUUCCUUUUCAAUAUUUAAUUGCAUGUGAAAGAAUGUGGAGAAAGCUUCUCUUUAAUAAAAUGUCAGAUGUUUAAUCUUUCUUCAGUUUAUUUAGAAUGUUUUUUGAAACAGUGACAUCCACCAAGCCAUUUUGGAAAAUCAGCAGAACUUGCAGAAGAUUAAAGAUGUGAAUAAAGAUUUCUCAUACAAAAGGAUAGAAUUGAAUGCAUUAAUUUCAUAGGAAAAAGUGGAAUUUAAAACAUCAAAUGAACGUUAGCCCAAUGCACUAAGAUUCAUUUCAGUACUGUAUCCCAAUAGCAUCAUGUCUUGACCCAGAAAUAUGAAAUAUGAAAGAUGUAUGAAAUAAUACAUGUACCAAUGAUCAAUAUUGCUGCUCUUCCAACAUUUCCUAUUUUUUUCACAUAUUUUCUGAUCAAAAUAUUCUGUUAUCUGUGAAAAUGACAGCUGUUAUAACAGGCAGGUAAACUGUUAUAUAAAACAAAUGACAACAGUUUUAGUAAUUAGUUUAUAAAUUGUGGAAUUAAAGAGGAUGAAGUACAGAAUAUGUAUUUAAAAUUAGUGCUGUAUAUAUUGAUAUCUUGCAUAAACUUAAGCAUACAUUUUUGAAGGAAAUAAACCUUGCACCAAGCCCAAACUCGUGGGAGCCUUCCCUACACACUACUUACAGAGAAUAUUCAGGCACUGCAUCCUUGAAAGCAUGGAGCUCUCGCACAUAUUCAUUAUAAAACCAUUUCACUUUGAAGUGCAAAUUCAUAUAAUCUGUGCUCUUACAUAACCGUUGAUUUUCAUGUUCUGUAAUAAAAGAAGAAGAAAUAAAAACAUUUAAUAACAUCUUAACAGUAAAUGACAUUAUCCUGCCUCAAUGCAGUAGUGAUACAGUACUUGCAUUACGAAGGACAAUCGGUUUGAUUUUUUUAGAGGUAGGAGCACCUGCAGUUUCUGAAUAUCCUUAGGAAAUACAAACCAAAGCACAGGUCAGUUCUAGAAAUGAGCUGCUGCCAAAUGAUGAGCAUACAUUUGCAGGAGGGUACCAUUUAUUCAGUUCCAUCCAUUUAAGCUCUAUUUUUGAAGUUAAGGUCGAACAUAAUAGAAACAAACAUGAAAGUAAUUCAUGAGCAAUUUUGUUUUUGUGUUUUUUUUAAUUUUUUCUUUUUUUUUGUGUAAGGGAAAGAAUCUUUCACAAAUCUCUCAGAUGUAACUUGUAGCUACAUGAAGCUGAAAAAUACAUCCUAAUUUCCUAAUAUUAACCUUUGAGAAGUUCAAGAUGGGGUUAUCCACCAUGAAUGCAGUUUCUGCAAUGAACAAGAAAUCUGUCAGAGAAACAAAAAGAUAUUUGCUCAUGCAAUGAGGACAACAGCAAUCUGCAAGGCUGCUCCAAAGGUCUGACAACUCAGAAUAUCGUCUCUGCAGAACUGAGGCAAUCUCCUGCUGUAUCCACACAGCAGCCAAUUUCUGGCCUGAUCCUGAUCUUGACUUCUGGCCACUACCAAAAUUAGAUUAUCAUAAUAACAGCAAUUAGAGUGCUCUAUUGCUAACAGUCUGGAUAGCUUUGGACAUUUGAUCUGACCUAUUCAAAAUUCAGAGAUGCAAACUAUAAGAGAAAGACAUUACUGAGGACAUUGAUUAAAAAAGAUACUUUUCAAAUUGUAUGUCUAAUUUCAGCUCGUUAGCCUCUUAUCUUCCAACAUUUACGCCUUCCUGCUUAGAAGGAGAAUGAUUUCUUACCAUAUCAAGUCAGUAACAAAUCACUUGCACUGCUGGUGGAAUUCUCUCUGUUCUCUUUGGUUUGUACCGUAAAUAAAGAAUAUUUUGAUGACCAGACAGAACAAAUGUAAACAUCUUGUGAGCUCAGAUAGGCUUGUAUAAACUAAAUGCCAAACAACAACGUAUAAUCAAUCUUGCAAAUCACUCCUACCUCACAAAAUAACUCACAAUGAAGAAAAAAGGCCAAACCUAAUGAAGUGAGUUCUCAAAGAGAAACAUUUGAUACCUUCUCCAUGCAGCAUCAGUACGUGAAAAUAAUCCCAAUAGCUUCAGAUUAGAAAAAAAAUCAGAACUGGAGUGGGAUGAAUUUGUUCAAGUUUGCAUAGAGCUUUUAAUCGUAGCCAAAGACUAAACAUCAUUAUUAAUCUGAAAUGGAAGAAAAUCUAGAAUAAAACAAUUAGCUCAAUGCUAGAUUUUAUCGUAGUCUCUUGUUUGCAUGUCACGUCAACCUGGAAUGGUGCAGCCCUGGUCUCAGCAACUGCGGAUUCUGGAUCUGUCCUUCGGGAUGCCCUUUUUCCCUCACCCAUAAAGAGAACUGACUGAAUUGACAGCAAAAAUCUAUACUGUCACACACCCAUAUGCUACCUUAGCAUCUGUACCAUCACGCAGCCACUGCAACAGAGCAAAAGGCCACUGCUGUGGAAGCUGCUGUUCUGUCUUUUCAGUCACACAGCGGCAGCCUCUAAGCACCCUUUCUUCCCAUCAAAGAGGGCUGGAGUUUUCCUGGGCAAGAAAUGAGGGAAAGGUAAGAUGGAGAGGUGUAAUGACUGCUGCCUGCCUCCUACUGGCACUUACUGCAGAGAGGUCAGACAGCACUACUGAAGAGCAACACCAGCAGCUGCAGCUCCCUGCAUCCCCGAGUGGACAGAUGAAUCAUUCAGCUGUACAGCCAGAGGACAAGCCCUGGACAGCCAUUCUCUCUGCUCUCAGGAAAACGUGAACACAGAUGCUAGAUGUUUCAGUAUUCAUCUUCUGUUAGAGAAUAGAGAUAUGACAUACUAAUUCCCUGAAUUUACCUUCAUGGGAGUUAGUGGGUAGGAACUAAUAAAGUGAGGAAAAGAACAAAAACAGGAUCCUAGAUGAUCUUAUUUAAUCACAUCAAUGAUCCUUUUUCAAAUGAUGUUGGACUAUGUCAUAGCUUCUUGAUGAGACACAGGAAGGAAUCAACUUCAUAACAAUAAAGAUGAUGCUCGAGAAAAUUAAUACUAAAUUGGAUCCAGCAGAGGCUGCAACAAUCCUGGACUCUACAUAUGAACAGAUGGCAGCCUGUGUUAAUAACUUGGAAGGCUAGACUUGCAUAGCUGAAUGUGAUACAUUUUAAUGAUAAAUAAAUAAAAAACUGUAUGAAUCGAGUGUGACCAUAUUUAAUGGCUUACUCCUAAUUUUGCAGAAUUCACACUGAAAGGUCUUCCUGCCAUUAACAAUUGCAGAAUCAAAUUCAGUUGGUAGAGGAUUUGGGGAAAUAGUGAUUUAAAGAACAGUAAAGUUGGAGAGAGGAGCAGAAUAUUGAUCUGUAUUUUGUGACUACAUUUAUCAAGAUUCUGUUGCAGGAUGGAAAUCAUAUACAUUUAUCAUACUUUGUAAUUAAAUUCAGUUUCCUUUACGUAUUCUAUAUACACAAAAACUGUCUCACUGUUGAUUCUGGGAAUGAUCUGGGAUGUUUAGUUAGAAAAAUGGCAUUUGCUCCUCUCAGAGAGCAUCUAUAGCAGCACAGAGGCAAGGCCAAACACAGGGUCUGGUUUGGAAUAGGUUUAAAAAGUCACAUGCCUCCUAAUUAAUCCUCUAUACCUCUUUCUGAACAGUCAGGACAUACCUUAUAUAUUAAUCAUGCUUAAAUACAUUAAUAUUUGUUUUCAAGUCCUGACCCAGCCAAACCUUCCAUACUUGCUGUAUUUCUCAAGAGCUUCUUGUUCUGUUCUUCACAACCACAACACAAACCAUUAUUUGAUGUAAAGCUGCUUUUGUGGGAUCAGGUACACUCUGCUUAGCAAGUAGAGUGGUCUUGGCUGAAUCGUCUUCCUGUUGUACAGAAUGUUUGUAGGUGAAUAACUGAAACACUACAAGAAUGGGAGGUGCUUAUGGCUAUUUGUGCACAAAGUACUACACAUUCAAAAUUAUGGGAGCCUGAUAAUGUAAUGCCUAUUAGAAAUUCUUAUGAAUCCUUGUGGUGUUAUGAUCAGAAAAUUCAGUUUCUGUACACUCCCUUCUGUUGAUACCAACUCCUGAUUUACAGCUCGUUGCAAUAGAAUGCUAUUACCACUCACUCAGCUUCCAGGGACAUGUUCUAACCCAAAAUCAUGGCUUUCAUUUGGUCUUCCUGCUUCUCAGCUUCUGGUGGCUUUCAGCUUCAUUGAUCACUCUUAAAGGAUUAUCUCCUGUCUGACAUUAGCUUUCUCAGUCUAGUCCUUUUGAUUCUCUAACAUAACUAUAGAUCAUUGACUUCUAAUAUUAGAUUGCAAAUCUUUUCUUACCCACAUUCUAGAUUUGGUUUCUUAUAUCUUCUUCUGUCAUUAUACAUGUUAUAACCACUGCUCCUGUAAUUCCUUCCUUCCUUUCUUCCAGAAUUCAAAUAACUAACAAAGCAACACCACAGUAGAUGAACAAAUUAAUUCUUCCAUUAAUAAAUGCUUUAGUCACUUGUCUUUUCUCUCCUCAUCAUGAUGAAAGUUUGUAUCAUCAUCAGAGUAUCCCAUUAUCACAUUCUGGAGAAAAUACUACAGAAAUUAAUCUUCAAACACUGCUUUUUCCUUAAAGUCUGACCUUGUAACUUCACCCUGGAAGAUAUGCCCUGUAGUCAGCAGCAGGCUUGGCUGAUGACAGUGUAUGAGUUUACUUUCCUAAAAGUCACAGCAUCUGGUUUAUUC